AACAUCGCGCACCUGCGGGAACCUGCGGAAGGAUCAUUACAGAGUUGCAAAACUCCCCAAACCAUUGUGAACCUUACCUUCAAACGUUGCUUCGGCGGGCGGGCCACAGCGCCCCCCGGGCCCCCCCAGCGGGGGCGCCCGCCGGAGGAUACCCAAACUCUUGAUACUUUAUGGCCUCUCUGAGUCUUCUGUACUGAAUAAGUCAAAACUUUUAACAAUGGAUCUCAGAUCGGAAGAGCA
This 240-nucleotide unclassified non-coding RNA is filed under the name soil metagenome. Its description in RNAcentral is "partial contains 5.8S ribosomal RNA, internal transcribed spacer 2, and large subunit ribosomal RNA". The record is from RNAcentral.